UACAGAGGUCCCGAGCGUUGUUCGGAUUCACUGGGCGUAAAGGGUGCGUAGGUGGCUUGGUAAGUUUGAUGUGAAAGCUCAGGGCUUAACCCUGAAAUGGCAUUGAAUACUACCGAGCUGGAGGUUUGGAGGGGGGACUGGAAUUCUUGGUGUAGCAGUGAAAUGCGUAGAUAUCAAGAGGAACACCAGUGGCGAAGGCGAGUCCCUGGACAACACCUGACACUGAGGCACGAAAGCUAGGGGAGCAAACAGG
This 253-nucleotide ribosomal RNA is filed under the name uncultured bacterium. RNAcentral describes it as "partial 16S ribosomal RNA". It matches the Rfam family "Bacterial small subunit ribosomal RNA", at positions 524 to 776 of the family's 1533-position model. The record is from RNAcentral.